RNAcentral lists this ribosomal RNA (433 nucleotides) under uncultured bacterium. RNAcentral describes it as "partial 16S ribosomal RNA". It matches the Rfam family "Bacterial small subunit ribosomal RNA", at positions 29 to 507 of the family's 1533-position model. The record is from RNAcentral.
AACGAACGCUGGCGGCAUGCCUAACACAUGCAAGUCGAACGAGAACUUCGGGUCUAGUGGCGCACGGGUGCGUAACGCGGGGGAACCUGCCCUUAGGUUCGGAAUAACUCCCCGAAAGGGGUGCUAAUACCGGAUAAUGUCUUCGGACCAAAGAUUUAUCGCCUUUGGAUGGGCCCGCGUUGGAUUAGCUAGUUGGUAGGGUAAAAGCCUACCAAGGCGACGAUCCAUAGCUGGUCGGAGAGGAUGAUCAGCCACACUGGGACUGAGACCCGGCCCAGACUCCUACGGGAGGCAGCAGUGGGGAAUAUUGGACACUGGGCGAAAGCCUGAUCCAGCAAUGCCGCGUGAGUGAUGAAGGCCUUAGGGUUGUAAAGCUCUUUUACCCGGGAUGAUAAUGACAGUACCGGGAGAAUAAGCUCCGGCUAACUCCGUG